AUUUAUGUAGUUUAACAAAAACAUUACAUUUUCACUGUAAAAAUAAAGAAAACUUUCUUAAAUA
Molecule: transfer RNA, 64 nt
Filed under: Rugitermes flavicinctus
Lineage: Eukaryota; Metazoa; Arthropoda; Insecta; Blattodea; Kalotermitidae
Description: tRNA-Glu
Rfam family: tRNA
About the family: Transfer RNA (tRNA) molecules are approximately 80 nucleotides in length. Their secondary structure includes four short double-helical elements and three loops (D, anti-codon, and T loops).
Source: RNAcentral